GACGAACGCUGGCGGCGUGCUUAACACAUGCAAGUUGAACGAGAAUUUUUUAAUUAAUUUCUUCGGAAAGAGAUUAAAGAAGGAAAGUAGCGAACGGGUGAGUAACACGUGAGAAACCUGCCUUUCACAAAGGGAUAGCCUCGGGAAACCGGGAUUAAUACCUUAUGACACUUAGAUAUCGCAUGAUAAUUAAGUAAAGAUUUAUUGCUAAGAGAUAGGCAUGCGUUCCAUUAGUUAGUUGGUGAGGUAACGGCUCACCAAGGCAUCGAUGGAUAGGGGAGCUGAGAGGCUUAUCCCCCACAUUGGGACUGAGACACGGCCCAA
RNAcentral lists this ribosomal RNA (324 nucleotides) under uncultured bacterium. Its description in RNAcentral is "bacterial SSU rRNA". It matches the Rfam family "Bacterial small subunit ribosomal RNA", at positions 28 to 334 of the family's 1533-position model. The record is from RNAcentral.